GGCCCAAUAGUUUUGUCAGGAUCUCAUCCGCAUCUUCAUGUUGCAGCCAUUUCAUGGUUCAAUGGAAGGGGUCUGUUACACUUUGGGCAAAUCAAAUAUACACCCUCACUGUCUUCCAACGUUUUGUUGAUUUGACUAGCGAGCUCCGUUCUGGGGCUUGUCCGAGGGCUGUCUGUGGCACAUAUUGAGUUGAACUCCAUCAUCUUCAUCCAUUGAAGAACCUCUCAUGAUGGCUUUCUUAGUCUUGAUCCAUACAUUU
This 259-nucleotide small nucleolar RNA is filed under the name Thielaviopsis punctulata. Its description in RNAcentral is "Ceratocystis radicicola Small nucleolar RNA snR191". It matches the Rfam family "Small nucleolar RNA snR191". Lineage: Eukaryota; Fungi; Ascomycota; Sordariomycetes; Microascales; Ceratocystidaceae. The record is from Rfam by way of RNAcentral.